This 468-nucleotide ribosomal RNA is filed under the name uncultured bacterium. RNAcentral's name for it is "partial 16S ribosomal RNA". It matches the Rfam family "Bacterial small subunit ribosomal RNA", at positions 28 to 507 of the family's 1533-position model. The record is from RNAcentral.
GACGAACGCUGGCGGCGUGCUUAACACAUGCAAGUCGAACGGAAAGGCCCUGCUUUUGUGGGGUGCUCGAGUGGCGAACGGGUGAGUAACACGUGAGUAACCUGCCCUUGACUUUGGGAUAACUUCAGGAAACUGGGGCUAAUACCGGAUAGGAGCUCCUGCUGCAUGGUGGGGGUUGGAAAGUUUCGGCGGUUGGGGAUGGACUCGCGGCUUAUCAGCUUGUUGGUGGGGUAGUGGCUUACCAAGGCUUUGACGGGUAGCCGGCCUGAGAGGGUGGCCGGCCACAUUGGGACUGAGAUACGGCCCAGACUCCUACGGGAGGCAGCAGUGGGGAAUAUUGCACAAUGGGCGGAAGCCUGAUGCAGCAACGCCGCGUGCGGGAUGGCGGCCUUCGGGUUGUAAACCGCUUUCGCCUGUGACGAAGCGUGAGUGACGGUAAUGGGUAAAGAAGCACCGGCUAACUACGUG